ACUCCUACGGGAGGCAGCAGUGGGGAAUAUUGCACAAUGGGCGCAAGCCUGAUGCAGCCAUGCCGCGUGUGUGAAGAAGGCCUUCGGGUUGUAAAGCACUUUCAGUUGUGAGGAAGGUGGUGUCGUUAAUAGCGGCAUCAUUUGACGUUAGCAACAGAAGAAGCACCGGCUAACUCCGUGCCAGCAGCCGCGGUAAUACGGAGGGUGCGAGCGUUAAUCGGAAUUACUGGGCGUAAAGCGCAUGCAGGUGGUUUGUUAAGUCAGAUGUGAAAGCCCGGGGCUCAACCUCGGAACUGCAUUUGAAACUGGCAGACUAGAGUACUGUAGAGGGGGUAGAAUUUCAGGUGUAGCGGUGAAAUGCGUAGAGAUCUGAAGGAAUACCGGUGGCGAAGGCGGCCCCCUGGACAGAUACUGACACUCAGAUGCGAAAGCGUGGGGAGCAAACAGGAUUAGAUACCCUGGUAGGACAGUG
RNAcentral lists this ribosomal RNA (472 nucleotides) under uncultured bacterium. Its description in RNAcentral is "bacterial SSU rRNA". It matches the Rfam family "Bacterial small subunit ribosomal RNA", at positions 335 to 799 of the family's 1533-position model. The record is from RNAcentral.